UCCUAAUAUGCCGAGGCUGACCUCAAAGCUCCAUUGUUGGACCAGUUCCAAGAUCGUGCUAGAAUGGUUAACCAAACCAGCGUGUCACUGGACAACGUUCGUUCCCAACAACAGGGUGACUAAAAUCACCGAAUCAACAUAGAAAAUUGUCCAUCGAUUCGUCCAGCCAUGUUGUAAGCUAUCACGCUGUCCGGGGUCCGUGUAGAGCAGAUAUUUUUCUGAAGAAGACCGCUGCUUGAGUCACCAGCGUCCUGUGCCCGCGACAAGUUUGAUUUUCUCUUUGAAUCACCUUCUAGAACAGAUAUACUAAUCAGGUCAUGCGGCCGCGUAACGACUUCCGACAGUUUGCGGUAUGAUGAACGGCCUCCUAUAUUCCUACUGUACGAAUGUUUACUCUCGGGGCUUCUGGUAAAAUGUCAUCCACCUAGAGCCUACAUCCGACCGAAAUAUUUCUUGCUGCCAAGUCCAGGUCGACAGUGGAAGGACUUUCGUCGGCGUUUCACCGUGCUUAUGUGAGUCUGUAGCAGCAGCUCACCUUGCAAUUCAUUCCUACUGGGGCACCACAUAUGGAGGGCAUAUGGGAAGCUGGUGUCAAGAGCUUCAAGACCUUAUUUUACAAAUCCACCGCUACACGCAAACCGCUAUCUUCGACGUCCGAGGAACCAACUGAUCUCUUAGCGUUGACACCAGGGCAUUUUCUUGUCGGCGGACCUUUGUUGACCAUAGAGGAACCUGAAAAAAGGGCGAAUCCAAGUCCAUUCUGAACCGGUGGCAGCACUUAAAGUCUCUCCAACAACAAUUCCGCCUUCGCUGGAAGGAUGAGUACCUUAAAAAGCUCCUCAAACGCAACAAGUUUUAAGUUCCCACAGAAAAUCGGUUAAUCGAAAGUCGGUUAUUCCGGGAACCGAUCGCAGUGACCAUCUUCCAGUAGAGCCGUCGUUGUAACGAGCAGCGUGUCCCCUUGACCUUAGUCCGUAACGAAUAUCCCUGUUAUUGUUAAUCAGCCUUGUUUGUUUUUUUCUUUACUAUGACCAGUAUAAUGGCUCCCCGUCUACGUAGCGCUCAGGCAUUGGAUAGCAGACGUUCGAGAGGAAUUCGAUUCUACCGAUGCCGAGUUCAUGCCGCGGAAUUCAUCCUUUUCGAAAGUUUUAGAUGUUCAUAAAGCUAAGUGCAGAGAAUCGGCUGCGGGCACAAACAACAGGAACAAGUCCAGCUCCCAGUCCCAGCUCGCUUCUUCACAGCGUUCGGGCCGGCAAGAUCGCAAGGCUUCUUGGCUUAAGCAGUUCGAUUUUGUGACUGAUUAUAUAAAAAAAUGUUUUUUUAAAUAAGAACGAGUUAUCAGAAAGAUAACUGCAGUUCAUCGGUAUUCAAUUGUAAAGUAUUAUCAAACAUAAAAUACAAAUACAACUCCUACACAUUCAUACUCACAUUAUGCAGUCAGCCUUGAGACACCCUUUAAGAAAUAAGAAUCGCGUCACCCUCUAAAAAAUAAGAAUCCAAUGGAAAAUUACCAAAUUAUUAGGAAGCCAAAUUACCAUGAAACAAAAAACCUCAUAUUUUGAUGAUAAAAGUAGCAAAAACAUUAUUUGUCAAAAAAAAUGAGGAAAGCUUAAAACUCAAAAAUCCUGAGAGCGUCGACGUGAAAUAUUCGCCAAUAAAAAUACAAAUAUCUUGGGAAUAAAAAAUCCUGAGAGUGACGACGAAGUUAAAAUCGUUGAGUUAUUCGACAAACAAUAGACAAGUGAUAUAGGUACUGAUCAAUUGGACGGACUAAAGGAACAAAUAGUUCACUAUAUUGAAAAAGAGAAUUCAAAGAGAAAUAUGCAAAUUCCUCUACGAACAGACACAAAGUGGAACAAAAAUCUUAUCCGCGACAGUUAAAUAUACGGGAAACAAUAUCCGCAUGCUUCUUCUGUCAACGACUUUUUGAAUAGCGAAAUCAGUAGAAUGUUAUCAGAAAAAAAAAGUAAGGCCUACCAGAGGCCCUUGCAAUUUACCAGUUCAGGUAGUCCAAAAGAAUGGAGAAAAUGAAGACGGAAGCCGGAAGUUAAGACUCGUUAAGACUGGAAAGUGUCGGAGCCAUUUUUGUUGCCGCGCCGAACUCCGAUCUUGGUUUCCCAGAUAAGUUAAACAAAUAGAAAUUAAAUUAGUUAUCCCACCCGUGAAACCAGGCUGCUUAUGGCUUUUAUAAACAAUAAUUUCAAUCUCUGCAUUCGCUUUUAUCUUUGCCUUUGGCUUUGAGGUCUGAGGUCCGAUCUUGGUUCCCCAGCUAAAUUAAACAAAUCAAAAUUAAAGUAAACAUCAGCUUAUGUUCGAAGCCCAAUCAAUUGCGCCUUUUGCGUUCCAAGCGUCUGCCAAAUUGCAUCGGUCAGCAUAAUUGAAUUUCACAAUGAGAUGAAACAGUUUCAUCUUUCGACAUAAAUUGAAGUUCUAAAAGUUGAAAAAGAAAAGUUUCUAGCCGAGGUACGUUGGAUUUAA
Molecule: RNA transcript, 2478 nt
Organism: Drosophila biarmipes
Lineage: Eukaryota; Metazoa; Arthropoda; Insecta; Diptera; Drosophilidae
Exons: 3
Source: RefSeq, a predicted model, not a curated record